ACUAAAGUUGAACAUAAAAUAAUGUAGCUAGAACAAUAAACUUGUAUAAAGAAAUAUGUCUAAGAAGAAAAGAUUGAAUUUAUGAGAUAAUAUUACUUUGUAUAUAUGUUGUUACUCUUUUGUUGUUAUUACAAAACAAUAUAGGCUUAGUUUAAAUAGUAGACUACAUGCUAUAAAUUGAUAGAACAGAAUUAAACGUAAACAUAAGCCUCAACUUUCUUUCCUUCCUAUUUUUCAUGUUUCCAUAUUUAGCUUCUGCUGAAUAUUUCCA
RNAcentral lists this long non-coding RNA (271 nucleotides) under Trifolium pratense (red clover). RNAcentral describes it as "long non-coding RNA (TPRA_LNC012547)". Lineage: Eukaryota; Viridiplantae; Streptophyta; Magnoliopsida; Fabales; Fabaceae. The record is from RNAcentral.